AUGCAAUCUACCUUUUACAGAGGGAUAGCCCAGAGAAAUUUGGAUUAAUACCUCAUAGUAUAAUAGCUCGGCAUCGAGCAAUUAUUAAAGUCACAACGGUAAAAGAUGAGCAUGCGUCCCAUUAGCUAGUUGGUAAGGUAACGGCUUACCAAGGCUACGAUGGGUAGGGGUCCUGAGAGGGAGAUCCCCCACACUGGUACUGAGACACGGACCAGACUCCUACGGGAGGCAGCAGUGAGGAAUAUUGGACAAUGGGCGCAAGCCUGAUCCAGCCAUGCCGCGUGCAGGAUGACGGUCCUAUGGAUUGUAAACUGCUUUUGUACAGGAAGAAACAGUUCUACGUGUAGAACCUUGACGGUACUGUAAGAAUAAGGAUCGGCUAACUCCGUGCCAGCAGCCGCGGUAAUACGGAGGAUCCAAGCGUUAUCCGGAAUCAUUGGGUUUAAAGGGUCCGUAGGCGGUUUAAUAAGUCAGUGGUGAAAGCCCAUCGCUCAACGGUGGAACGGCCAUUGAUACUGUUAAACUUGAAUUAUUAGGAAGUAACUAGAAUAUGUAGUGUAGCGGUGAAAUGCUUAGAGAUUACAUGGAAUACCAAUUGCGAAGGCAGGUUACUACUAAUUGAUUGACGCUGAUGGACGAAAGCGUGGGUAGCGAACAGGAUUAGAUACCCUGGUA
RNAcentral lists this ribosomal RNA (675 nucleotides) under Flavobacterium sp. RNAcentral's name for it is "bacterial SSU rRNA". It matches the Rfam family "Bacterial small subunit ribosomal RNA", at positions 119 to 792 of the family's 1533-position model. The record is from RNAcentral. Lineage: Bacteria; Pseudomonadati; Bacteroidota; Flavobacteriia; Flavobacteriales; Flavobacteriaceae.